Molecule: long non-coding RNA, 176 nt
Organism: Carica papaya (papaya)
Lineage: Eukaryota; Viridiplantae; Streptophyta; Magnoliopsida; Brassicales; Caricaceae
Source: RefSeq, a predicted model, not a curated record
AGAAGAGAUGGGACUGGGAGAGAAUGGAACAUAGGAGAAAGGUAGGAGGGAGCGGAGCACGGAUGCGCUGCCGUGCUGGAGCUAGGAAAUGUAGAAACCGAGAAUUGGAAGCUAGGCUGUGGCCGUGAAUGAGGUCAGUUUAGGCUUCCGUUUGGAGGUAAGGAUACAUUAACCAA